This 466-nucleotide ribosomal RNA is filed under the name Microbacterium awajiense. Its description in RNAcentral is "bacterial SSU rRNA". It matches the Rfam family "Bacterial small subunit ribosomal RNA", at positions 586 to 1047 of the family's 1533-position model. The record is from RNAcentral. Lineage: Bacteria; Bacillati; Actinomycetota; Actinomycetes; Micrococcales; Microbacteriaceae.
CGUCUGCUGUGAAAUCCCCAGGCUCAACUUCGGAUCUGCAUUGGGUACGGGCAAACUAGAGUGCGGUAGGGGAGAUUGGAAUUCCUGGGGUAGCGGUGAAAUGCGUAGAUAUGUGGAGGAACACCGAUGGCGAAGGCGACAUCUCUGGGCCGUAACUGACGCUGAGGAGCGAAAGCGGUGGGGAGCGAACAGGAUUAGAUACCCUGGUAGUCCACCCCGUAAACGAUGAGAGCUAGUUGUGGGGUCCUUUCCACCCCAUUCCGGGACGCACCUAACGCAUUAACUUCCCCGCCGGGGAAUCACGGCCGCAAAGCUAAAAUUCAAAGGAAUUGACGGGGACCCGCCCAAGCGUCGGACCAUGCGGAUUACUUCGAUGCAACGCAAAAAACCUUACCAGGGCUUGACAUAUCCGAGAACGCUGCAGAUAUGUAGAACUCUUUGGACACUCAUAAACAGGUGGUGCAUG